Molecule: ribosomal RNA, 253 nt
Filed under: uncultured bacterium
Lineage: Bacteria
Description: partial 16S ribosomal RNA
Rfam family: Bacterial small subunit ribosomal RNA
Source: RNAcentral
GACAGAGGAGCCAAGCGUUGUCCGGAUUGACUGGGCGUAAAGCGCACGCAGGCGGUCGCGCGCGUGGGGUGUGAAAACUGGCGGCUUAACUGCCAGAGGCCAUCCCAUACGGCGUGACUCGAGCCAUGCAGAGGUCCACGGAAUUGCCGGUGUAGUGGUGAAAUGCGUAGAGAUCGGCAGGAACACCCAGGGGGAAAUCAGUGGACUGGGCAUGGGCUGACGCUCAGGUGCGAAAGCGUGGGGAGCGAACCGG